CCACACUCUAAUUGCAAGAACAUGUGAAUAUCGGAGACCACAGCUGCUUUCGUUCUCCAAUAGCGUGGGCUCAGCUUUGGUAGAGUUUGAAUAGAAUUUGACCAUUAUUGCUUCUCAGUGUUCUGACAGUAGCAUGGAUGGCCUUGGCCUGCAGUGAGCUGAACAUCACAGUGGGGAAUCAAGGAGGUGCGGAAUUUCCACCGAGAAAAGGUGCCUUUGAUCCGGGUUGAAGCCACUGACCUUAGGUCCUUUCCAGUGUUGGGUGUCUAUGAUGCUCAUGACUUGCUUUCCCCACCUUGCCCCUUGGCUUCUGACCUCUGAACUCUGGCUUUCCCACUUGCAUCUCUCAGCCUGUGGUGUGUAUUGGUGUCCCCAAGGUCUGUACGGUCCUGACCACAUUGCCAAGCUGCCUGCACAGGAUAUGUGAGUUCUGGAGAGAAGGAUUUCUGCGAGGGUAAUGUUUCUUGUCUCAUCCCAGGUGAUAAAUAACCCUGAAAGAGCACUUUUUGCUUGAGUCCUAGCUGUGAUGACUACAUGACCUGGGCUUGUUGCAGGUUGAUGAGAUCAUACAAAAAUGACGAAUCUUUGCUUGGAAGCUGCCUGCCCUACAGAAACCUAGCAGCGUGCUGGAAGCACAGAUUUCCCUUUUCCUGGGAAAGGAUCUCGUUAUCCACCAAAAGGCGUCUUCAUGCUGACAUAUGAGAAAAAAACAAACAAGAAGUUGCUUUAUGUCAUAUAGUAAAGUCUAGGACUUUGACAAAGUUCUAGAACUAGAAAUAUGAGACACCUCUGAGAUCAUCUGAAUGGUCCUUCUAUCCGUCCAGCCAUUCAACCAAUGAACUUCUCUUAAGGGUCUUUUGUGCUGUUGUCUUUACUAGAUGAUGGAGAUUCAAAGAUGAAAAUUCCCCAUUUCCUGUUUUGGAAACUUACAAUGUAGCAGGGAGAGAAAUGUGACUAACAAUUACACUGACUUGAUAAGAACUUUAACAGAGACAUGUAGGUUCUAUGGGAACAGAGAAGAAAGCAGUUGACUUUGCAGGGAAGGCAUCCUGCAUGGAGGUAAGUUUGCACUAACCUUUGUGGGAUGAGUAAGAGUUUGUUAGGUGGCCUGGCAGAAGCGAGAGAGGCAGUUUAGGAUAAUGGCACAGUUACGUGGGAGACUAUGUGGAGAUGAGAGAAAAAGCCUUCACCUCACAUAUAAGCUAAAAAUAGAGGCAGAGAAAGUAGAAACAAUGGCCAUCUCAGAAAAACAUUUGGGAUGUGGGCAUCUUUAGGAAACCUCCUACGCAGAGACAUCCGUGGAAAUGGGGUCAAUCAAAUAACUGUCUUGAAACAACCAAAAACAUCCAAGGACCUACCUAUCUAACUUGCCCUAUCUUGCUGCACAUCAGUUUGAUCCUCCAAGAUGGUUGCUGGCAUCAAGAAGAAAAUGGAAAGUCACAAGCAGGGGAGGACCGGGAAGCAUAGAAUUUUCUCAAAUACAUUCUUCAGUGGAGGCGCCUUACAGGUAUGGCCGCAGCCAUCUAUACCUGAGUAACAGAAAGAGACACCACAGCCUGAGAGAAGGAGGAGACCGAGAGGCGAGCUGCAGCAAGCAGGGCUCGUGAGCCGCAGGUGCCCACGCCAUCUGUUUGCAGUGCUAGUGACCCAUCCAAAGGUCCAAGUGCCUUUCGACUGAGCCUACCUUACAUACCACAAAAGGCUUAUUUCAACGGGGUCCAAAGAUUGUCGUGAGGGGAAAUAGGCUCCAUUUGGUUAGGGUGGCAAUAGAACAGAGAGCUCACCACCCACUCCAGACCUCAAGGAAACUGACAAACCUAUGUCUCUCCAUCCAAGCUGUGGCACAGUGCCAAUGAAGCCAAAAUGAGGAGUUUACAGUUCCAGGAGGGGUCACAUGUCUCUCAUGAAGAAAGAGUGACUGGAUUUCCUUUCUCCUCAGCAUUUAUCCCUGCCUAGACAGGCUUCCUUUUUUUUUUUUUUUUUUUUUUCUUUUCCCCGAAACAUUUGCUUUAGGUCAGCCAGAGAAAGGAGAGUUUUGCUCAGCUCAAGAUUUGGCAGAGACAACCAAUGUGGAAUGAAUCUGGGAGAUCCACAAUGUGGGGUCUGGAGUGGCCCGCCAAAGUUACUGGACUUUUUUUCCACACGAAGUCAGUGAGGACUCAAAGAGGAGAGAAUUGAGACUCAGAAAGAUUAGAUAACUUGAUCGAGGUCUCACGGGUUACAAGAGACAGACCUAGACUUGAACUCAACUCCAUGUGACCAAGAGAUUCCCUUAGUGAUGACAAGGAACUAAACGAAAUGAAACAAAUUAAGUGGCAGAACAUGCGAAGGGAGAAGACUCCCAGGUGUGGAAUCAUCUCCCAGUAACCGUCACCAGUGAAAUCAUUUGCAAUUGGAAAAGACAGGCUGCUGGAAGAGACAGGGCUGCCCUGGCACAGUUUCCAUGGGUCAGAAAUCCAAGCACAGCUUAUCUGGACCCUCUGCCUCAGGGUCUCUCACAGGCUGAAAACAAGGUACUGGCCUGGGCUGGGGUCUCAUCUGAAAGUUCACCCAGAGAAGGACUGGCUUCCAAGCUCAUGUGGUUGUUGGAAGAACUUAUUUCUGGAGGAUUGUUGGACUGAUGGUCUUGGUUCCUAUCUUGUUGUUGGUAAGAGGUCAUCCUCAUGACCUUGCCAUGUGGCCUUACCAUUUGGACAGCUCACAACAGGGCAGCUCGCUUCAUCAGAGUGAGAAAGCAAGUCAGAGAAAGAAUGCAAGACAGAAAUCACAAUAUUUUAUAACCCCAUCUUGGAAGUGGCAUGCUACCACUUUGUAUUGCGUUGGUUGCAAGCAUGUCCCCCAUCCUGCCCAUAUUCAGUGGGAGAGUAUCUCACAGGGAUGUGAGGGCCAGGAGGUGGGGAUCACUGGGGGACAUGUACGGGGCCACCUAGCACAGUCACUGUUUGCUGUUAGGGACUUAACUGAAGCAGAGGAAGAGCCAGAGCUCAAGGCAUUUCCAAACAAAGCGUUCAAGUCCUAGAUUUCUAAACUCUUCUCUGGCUUCCCCAUAGUCCACUCCCCUUUCGUGAGCCUUUUCUAUCUUCUGCAAGCACACCAAGUCUGCCCAGCCUUACAGCCUGUGGGCUGGCUCCUCUCACUAUCUAGAAAGCUCUUCCCUCAGCCCAACCUAGGCCCCUGCUGAAAUGUCACCUCUUCUCAGAGGCCUAAUCUGAAUACCUAUUGAGGACUUACUUAUUCAACUCCCACUAUGUAUUAGGCAUUGCAGCCCUUUGCCCCCAAAACCCAGAAUCCACAGCCUAAAGCAAUUCUCUAUGUAGUGAGAGAGAGAGAGACAAAUAGAUAACUAGCACUGAGCACACGCCAUCGCAGUUGACUAAAAGGCUGUCAGGGCAGGAUGCAGAAAUGCUGAAUUAGUCAACAGGGAGGUGUGACUUGGUUGGGAGAAACCCACUAAUUUGCCCAUAAGUUGAAGCCACACUCCCCAGCCUGGCACAAAAGCCCUUCACAACUGGUACCAUUUCAUCCCUCUUUCUUCUCACUAUAUAAUCCAGUCACAAAGAGAAAAAACAAGUCCGGUAAGGUGUCCAAGCUGGGCCUGAAGACACUCCCUGCCAUGUGCUGUUCCCUUGCUAAGAAUAUUCCUUCUUGUCUGUUGAACGCGAUCCUAAAAGAGUCCAGUCCAGUGCUCACCCUGCCUGAGCCAGCUGAGCUGCCAUAACAGAAUGCCACCGACUGGGUGGCCUGAGCAGACAUUCUCACAGUUCUGGGGACUGGGAGUCCGAGGGCAAGGCGCCAGCAGCUUCCAUUCUUGCUCGUGUAAAUGUGCAACCUCUGGCGGCUUGACUCUCAGCAGGAAUGUUUGCAGCACCUGGACGUCCUGUAGUUGGUGAGAAGUUCCAACAUGUCCACUCAGAAAUUAGAAACCUGACCACCCGACUCCUCAGCGUGUUUAGUGUGUUAAUGGUCUUUGAACCACGGUCUGAAUUGGAUACAUUCGUCUUCAAAAGAACUUAAAAUUCCAGCAUGAAAGUCCGGGAGGAAAACUGUCCUCGCAUUCAGAAGGCGAUGUCCCAAAGUGCGUUUUCUGUCUGGUUAGGAUCACUUCCUUGCUGUUCGGACACCCAGGCUGAUGCUUUUUCACCCCUCCACCCCUGCUCUAAAAGGAGCUGCUUCAUUGCCCAGGUUCUCUGUGAUCUUUAAGGCACAAACUCACAUUAUGAUCAUAUUUUAUAUGCAAUCUCCAAUGUGUUUGAGUGUAGUGGAGACAUAUCUUUCCUAAAGCUUUAAAAUAAAAUUUAAUGUCUUAGAAA
This is an RNA transcript of Manis pentadactyla (Chinese pangolin), 4310 nucleotides long. RefSeq lists it as uncharacterized. The record is from RefSeq and is a predicted model, not a curated record. NCBI's taxonomy places the organism in Eukaryota, Metazoa, Chordata, Mammalia, Pholidota, Manidae. The transcript has 4 exons.